CCGCCUAAAGAUUUAAUCAUUUAACAGGUUUGAGCUGGGUUUUUUUUUAACUUUAUUUUGUAUUGAUAUUUGAAUGUUUAAGAGGUUGUUGUGUGAUGCAACUUUAAAAGUGUUUUAUGUGUUAUUGUUAAAUGCCAGUUUGCAUUUGUUCAACGUGGAAAGUAAUUUGAAAAAAUUUUUAUUGUUUGCAUUUGUGAAGAGUUUUGUCAUUCUUUAUUAGUAGUUGUGCAAACAACUGUCUCUCUGUCACAAGGGUGGGGUUUCAGCAAAACAUCCGCCUCUGUUAUUCUAUUCUCUCGUUGUCCCUGCUUCUCUUCUCAUCUCCUCAAAUAUAAAGCUUUGCUUUCCUUAGCAACUCCAAUGGCAUCUUACACAGUGGUCAUUGUCCCUCUCAGGAGCAGUCCUAACAGUCUGGAUGCAUUGCAGUUCUUCCUCUGGGUGAAGAAGAUGAAGGACUUAGAGAGGGAAAAGGACUUUUUGUGGAUUGGAUUGCAGGCUUUAGAGCAGGUGCGAGAGAAGUUAUGCUCCAACCUAGAAGACAACAUGGAAGUGCAAGACCAAUUCAAGAAAGGAGAGAUGAGAAAAGUGUUUCCAGACCCCCCCACCCUACUGUUGGCUCAGAUUCACAGAGUGAACAGGACCUUGAGGAAUCUACUGUGUGACUCUAGGAAUCCCACUGAUCCUGCAAUAGAAGGUACUGAAGGACACCAGCCCUCUCCUACCUGUUCAGAAGAAAGUGCUUGUUUUUGAUCAGCUGUUUGUUUUGAAGUUCUGUACUGCAUUUUCUUGUAUUUUGUGCUUGCAGAAUGUAUUCGGAGUGGAUUGAAGUCAUUUUCUGUGUGAAAAAUUUCCUACUUGAUUAGAUUUCCAAAACAUAUGGCAUACAACUCGUACACUGCUUUGAAUGUUUUAUUCAAGAAUUCAAUGCACUCAACUCAACCUUCCAUUUCCAUUGACCUUCCAGGAAUGAAUGUACUGAAGGUAUAUUAACUGCCGUCUGCCAUUUAGUUUCUGCUACUAUUGGAUUAAAAAUGCGAAACACUUAUUUUUGCAAUGAUAACUUGAUACAUACAUUAACUUGUGAUGAAAUGAGAUCAUGUGACAACACUAGCAUUUUUUCUUUUUAUACUUCACAUACACUGGCUGCC
This is an RNA transcript of Sinocyclocheilus grahami, 1148 nucleotides long. It is a transcript of the gene named suppressor APC domain-containing protein 1, with no coding region annotated. The transcript is spliced from 5 exons. NCBI's taxonomy places the organism in Eukaryota, Metazoa, Chordata, Actinopteri, Cypriniformes, Cyprinidae. The record is from RefSeq and is a predicted model, not a curated record.